Molecule: small RNA, 211 nt
Filed under: Mesocricetus auratus (golden hamster)
Lineage: Eukaryota; Metazoa; Chordata; Mammalia; Rodentia; Cricetidae
Description: 7SK RNA (ENSMAUG00000004878.1)
Rfam family: 7SK RNA
About the family: 7SK was discovered as an abundant small nuclear RNA in the mid-70s but a possible function has only recently been suggested. Two independent studies have found that 7SK RNA binds the CDK9/cyclin T complex (known as elongation factor P-TEFb). P-TEFb activates transcription by phosphorylating the C-terminal domain of RNA polymerase II.
Source: Rfam by way of RNAcentral
AGAUGAGUGACCCAGCCUUUUUCCCAGCUCUGUGCAAAUCCCUUCCAAAGCUACACCCUCAGUUGAAAGGAUGAUCUUCCCCAGCAGAGGAGGUAAAUAAAAGGCCAGGCUCCCCUGCUAGAACCUCAAAUCAAGCUCUCAAGAUGAUAGGAGAUAUGCUGAUAAUUUGCAAGCCUUUGAUUGGCAAUCCUUUGGCUUCAUGUCAGGACAA